UUCCGUUUGGGGAACGUGCGGAGGGAUCAUUACCGAGUUUACAACUCCCAAACCCCUGUGAACAUACCACUUGUUGCCUCGGCGGAUCAGCCCGCUCCCGGUAAAACGGGACGGCCCGCCAGAGGACCCCUAAACUCUGUUUCUAUAUGUAACUUCUGAGUAAAACCAUAAAUAAAUCAAAACUUUCAACAACGGAUCUCUUGGUUCUGGCAUCGAUGAAGAACGCAGCAAAAUGCGAUAAGUAAUGUGAAUUGCAGAAUUCAGUGAAUCAUCGAAUCUUUGAACGCACAUUGCGCCCGCCAGUAUUCUGGCGGGCAUGCCUGUUCGAGCGUCAUUUCAACCCUCAAGCACAGCUUGGUGUUGGGACUCGCGUUAAUUCGCGUUCCUCAAAUUGAUUGGCGGUCACGUCGAGCUUCCAUAGCGUAGUAGUAAAACCCUCGUUACUGGUAAUCGUCGCGGCCACGCCGUUAAACCCCAACUUCUGAAUGUGACCUCGGAUCAGGUAGAUNCC
Molecule: ribosomal RNA, 511 nt
Filed under: Fusarium oxysporum
Lineage: Eukaryota; Fungi; Ascomycota; Sordariomycetes; Hypocreales; Nectriaceae
Description: eukaryotic LSU rRNA
Rfam family: 5.8S ribosomal RNA (bases 181-334)
Source: RNAcentral